This 441-nucleotide ribosomal RNA is filed under the name uncultured bacterium. RNAcentral's name for it is "partial 16S ribosomal RNA". It matches the Rfam family "Bacterial small subunit ribosomal RNA", at positions 355 to 783 of the family's 1533-position model. The record is from RNAcentral.
UGGGGAAUUUUGGACAAUGGGCGAAAGCCUGAUCCAGCAAUGCCGCGUGUGUGAAGAAGGCCUUCGGGUUGUAAAGCACUUUUGUCCGGAAAGAAAUCCUUGGCUCUAAUACAGUCGGGGGAUGACGGUACCCGGAAGAAUAAGCACCGGCUAACUACGUGCCAGCAGCCGCGGGUAAUACGUAGGGUGCAAGCGUUAAUCGGAAUUACUGGGCGUAAGCGUGCGCAGGCGGUUUGCUAAGACCGAUGUGAAAUCCCCGGGCUCAACCUGGGAACUGCAUUGGUGACUGGCAGGCUAGAGUAUGGCAGAGGGGGGUAGAAUUCCACGUGUAGCAGUGAAAUGCGUAGAGAUGUGGAGGAAUACCGAUGGCGAAGGCAGCCCCCUGGGCCAAAUACUGACGCUCAUGCACGAAAAGCCGUGGGGGAGCAAACAGGAUUAGAU